RNAcentral lists this ribosomal RNA (385 nucleotides) under uncultured archaeon. Its description in RNAcentral is "bacterial SSU rRNA". It matches the Rfam family "Archaeal small subunit ribosomal RNA", at positions 140 to 530 of the family's 1478-position model. The record is from RNAcentral.
CUGGGGAUAAUACCCUAUAGGUUACAGAUGCUGGAAUGCCCUGUAACCAAAAGCUCCGGCGCCCUAGGAUGGAUCUGCGGCCGAUUAGGUUGUUGUUGGGGUAACGGCCCAACAAGCCCGUAAUCGGUACGGGUUGUGGGAGCAAGAGCCCGGAGUUGGAUUCUGAGACACGAAUCCNGGCCCUACGGGGCGCANCAGGCGCGAAACCUCUACNAUGCGGGCAACCGUGAUAAGGGAACCUCGAGUGCCUGUAAACGCAGGCUGUUCAGGUGUUUAAAACGCACCUGGAGAAAGGGCCGGGCAAGACCGGUGCCAGCCGCCGCGGUAAUACCGGCGGCUCGAGUGGUGGCCGCUUUUAUUGGGCUUAAAGCGUUCGUAGCUGGGU